This 464-nucleotide ribosomal RNA is filed under the name uncultured bacterium. Its description in RNAcentral is "partial 16S ribosomal RNA". It matches the Rfam family "Bacterial small subunit ribosomal RNA", at positions 339 to 795 of the family's 1533-position model. The record is from RNAcentral.
CUACGGGCUGCUCCAGUGGGGAAUAUUGCACAAUGGGCGCAAGCCUGAUGCAGCCAUGCCGCGUGUAUGAAGAAGGCCUUCGGGUUGUAAAGUACUUUCAGCGGGGAGGAAGGGAGUAAAGUUAAUACCUUUGCUCAUUGACGUUACCCGCAGAAGAAGCACCGGCUAACUCCGUGCCAGCAGCCGCGGUAAUACGGAGGGUGCAAGCGUUAAUCGGAAUUACUGGGCGUAAAGCGCACGCAGGCGGUUUGUUAAGUCAGAUGUGAAAUCCCCGGGCUCAACCUGGGAACUGCAGCUGAUACUGGCAAGCUUGAGUCUCGUAGAGGGGGGUAGAAUUCCAGGUGUAGCGGUGAAAUGCGUAGAGAUCUGGAGGAAUACCGGUGGCGAAGGCGGCCCCCUGGACGAAGACUGACGCUCAGGUGCGAAAGCGUGGGGAGCAAACAGGAUUAGAUACCCGCGUAGUC